Molecule: long non-coding RNA, 1466 nt
Filed under: Medicago truncatula (barrel medic)
Lineage: Eukaryota; Viridiplantae; Streptophyta; Magnoliopsida; Fabales; Fabaceae
Description: long non-coding RNA (MTRU_LNC005511)
Source: RNAcentral
GACAUUUUUGUUGACAAAUAAUCCCAUUGGACAUGUUUUUGGUUUUUAUUUGUCAUAAAGUGAAUCAAAAGUGCAUGUAAACCUAAAAUAAAUCAAACCGUUAUACUUCAAAUUUCUCAGCUUUUUUAAUAGGAUAUAGGAUGUUAUGGUUAUGGACACCAGUAGAUUUUGCUCUACUAUGAUUUUACUUACAUUCAUAAAAUGAUAAAGCUCAUUUUUUGGGGGAGUGAUGGGCUAGAUAAACUUCCAAAGAGAUGAACUACGAAAUCAAUGUUCAGCAUGGUUGCUUGUCCUUCAAUCAAUUUCUUUAGUGCUAUAGCAUAUCAUCAUUCAUUCCAUGCAACAAUAUCAGAAAUGAAAGCCCCCAAAUUUCCAACCACUAAGCAUAUCUCUUGUAUUCCUGAACUUCAUCCUUGGCCAUGUUUUGGACCUCAGACUUUUCUGAACCUUUAUGCCAUAUCUGAAAACAAAAGUUCAGGCUUCUCAAGAUAAGUAUUUAUGUGCCUCAUUUCAAUCAGAAAUUUAACCACAAGCUAUGUCUCUUUUCAGAAUAAACAAUACUCUAUGAGUUUAAGUUAUAUCUAAUUAGAGUUAAGUAUGUUUAUAGUUUUUAUAAAUUACACUUUUUAGUUUGGUCCAUAUAAAAAAUUCAUAAAAGCAUGUUGCUUUUAUAGGGAGUAAAAAAUAAUUUAACAUUUUAUUUAUGACAAGAAUAGAAAAGGAAAUGGUAUACUGUAGCUUCUUUUCCUUAAAACUAUUACAAAUAUAAUAGUGAAGAAUCAAAGAUAAUUUAAAUACAAAAACAAAAAUAAAACAGGUUCUUAGUUUUGUACAUUUACAUGUCCUAUAGUAUAUUCACUUGCCAAUGUUGUUGAUGGAAUGGUAACAUUGUAGUCAGGGAACAGGACAACCCUCUGCAUGUACACCUGGAGCUGUAGGGCAUUUAGCCAAAGGGCAGUGGUCUGGUUCAAGACCCCACCAAGUUGGACCAUAAAUACCGUAAGAUUGAAGAGAAAAAUAAAGUAGUAAACCUAUAAAGGCAACUCCAGCAUCUAAACCAGCUGAAAGGAUGUAAGUAUGUCUAGCCCACCAUGCUUUGAACUUUCUAUAAACAUAGAAAUUGAAAAAUAUUCCAACAAUCCCCCAAGUAAUAUAAUUCACAGAUCUCACAGGUGGGAUGUCAGAUGCACCUGCAAUGAUAAUAGGAAUGUUGAUGAAUUGAAUCCACUUUUGGUUGGGAAAUUUGAGAGAAAGAAGCCACACGGGAACUGGUGCGAUUAGACCGAUAAGGAAAAACCAAUUCAAUUCGGGAUAAACACCGUCUUUGGUAAACAUUCUCUUUGGCCCUACAACUCCCCAGAUGAUUGAAGCAUUGUAAAAUACAUCAUCACCAGGACAUGUCCAAGGACUACCUUUUGGCAAUAAUGAUUCAUCACAUAUGUUCUCAAUAGAUGUUAGAAGCCACC